Lotus japonicus is the source of this 2969-nucleotide RNA transcript. RefSeq lists it as uncharacterized. The transcript has 4 exons. Lineage: Eukaryota; Viridiplantae; Streptophyta; Magnoliopsida; Fabales; Fabaceae. The record is from RefSeq and is a predicted model, not a curated record.
UUUGUACUUCUUAUCCUUUUUUAAGAUGCAUGCAGGGAUUAUUGCUAAAUGUAAUAGUAUUAUGAGAUGCUUCCUUUGGGGGGGCUCGGAGGAAGGGAGGAAGAUAGCUUGGUUGGGAUGGUCUAAGGUUUGCAGGCCUAAAGGGGAAGGAGGUUUGGGUAUAAAGGACCUUAUGUCCUUUAAUCUUGCCCUCCUGGGGAAAUGGAGGUGGAGGAUGUUGCAAGAACAAAAUAGUUUAUGGUGCCAAAUUCUGAAUGAGAAAUACAGUGGUCCUCUCCAUCAAAAGGAUUCUCCUUGGUGGAAGGAUUUGAAUUCAGUUUGUUUUGGGGCGGAGUGUGGGCGUUGGUUUAAUGAGGCGAUUUGUAGAAGGGUUGGGGAUGGUAGGGAUAUUGCUUUUUGGGUGGAGGAUUGGACAGGGUCUGGGAGCUUCAAGAGUAUUUUCCCGAGACUCUUUCUGUUAUCAAGCCAAAAGGAUGCUUCCAUCUUGGAAAUGGGAAGGUGGGUUGGAGAUGCAUGGGUUUGGGAUUUUAAAUGGGAGAGGGUGCUGCUGGAUAGGGAAUUGCAGAGGGUUGUAGAGUUGGAAAGGAAGACCGGAGGUUUUUCCCCUAAAUUGGGUCAACGGGACAAAUGAGUUUGGGUGAAGGAUGAGUCAGGAGUGUAUAGUGUGAAGUCAGCGUAUGCUCUAAUUCAUGAUGAUUCUGUUGCAGAAGAUAGCUGGGUUUUUAACAAGCUUUGGAAAGCAAAAGCACCUUCUGGCUUGAUUGCUCUGGCUUGGAGGGUUUUGAUUGAUAGAGUGCAGACUAGAUAUGAUCUUAGCAAGAGGAAUGCUCUUCCAGUUAACGUUACUACUACUUGUGUCCUAUGCGCUUCUGAUGUGGAAAAUAGCUUUCAUCUCUUUUUUAAUUGCCAUGUCUCGUGGAGAGUUUGGUCUAAGUUGCUUGACUGGUUGGGGAUCCAAUUUGUAUUGCCAUCAUGUGUUGUAAACCAUUUCAGUCAAUUCUGUGGUGUGUUGAGGGGAGGAAAAAAGGUUUCGCAGGCUCUUAUCUUGAUCUGGAUUGCUGCUGUUCAUUCGAUUUGGCAGUGUAGAAAUGGUUUAAUUUUCAGGGGGGAUUCAGUGGAAAUAGGCAGCCUAGUGGAUCUGGUGCAAUACAAGGUUUGGUUGUGGUUAUCUUCGCAUGAAAGGAGCUUUUCCGCUUCUGUUUUUGAGUGGAUUUCGAACCCUGCAAUAUGUAUUUUUUCCUUGUACUAAGUGGCAGCAGCUGGUGAUUUUCUAUGUUGGAUUGUGGGUUUGCUUGAAGGGAAGUACUUUAAUCUUUCUAGUGACAGAUUUUCUAUGUUGGUUUGUGUGUAUGUUGAAUCAUGUUUUGCUGUGGCCGUUUGCUCUUGCUGGGAGAAUUAUUAUCUUAUUGUUUCUGUAUGGCAUUGGUUUUCAUCAGAUGAAGGUUAGUAGGUGCACUAUAUCUAUUAGUGGGAAAUAUAUAUUGAAGGGUAUUAGAUGGUUUGGUUUUGUCUUGUCUGUGAUAGCAUGUGGUGCUUCCGUCUUGGAUUUUUUGCUCCUCCACUGUUGUGCGCCUUGGCUGGGUUCAUCUGUGUGUUAGUGUGUUCUGUGACAGCAACGCAAGAGGUAUCACCACAGCUUUUCCUGUUAAGUGCCUCUUCUGUAAGGUUUGUUGUUGCAGACCAAGCUUCCUUUACAGUUUACAUUUCUGAUGGCAUCCAUUGCUUCUUGAUUUGUCAUUACCUUGAAUAAUUUAAUAUACAGAUGUAAGAAGUGCAAAAAUAUGGUCCAUAAGCUCCACUACCAUAUAUAUGGUUCUGAGCUCAAGUGUUUCUUUAGGCUCAAGUGUGGUUUUGAGCUCAGUUUCAACAUAUGCUCUCUUCACUACAUCUCCAAGUUCAGUCCAAGAGUCAUGCUACAUUAUGAAAAAAGAAAGAUGAAAACUCAACAAACACCGGCAAUUUAUCCACCCAUGUUAGCUUCGGGACUAUUUAAGCAAGGUACUAAUAGCUCUACCCAUAUUUGUUGUUAUUAUAGUUUCAGUUUUCUAAUUGCCAUUUUCAAAUUUUGGAAAGUAUGAAAAAGUAUAAGUUGAAAUUGUCUAACACUGUUCUGUCAUCUUCUAUGUCUCUGUAGCAUUUUGAUUAACUACAAUUGAAUCACUUUUGCUGGUCCGGGGUUGACCAAGUUCAAGUCAUGGCUAUUUGGGCUUACGGUUUAUUUGGUGUUGAACUAUUCUCAUUGUAGUGUGGUUCUAAAUAUGUCUCAGAUUUUUUUAUAAUGGCAAAGCUGUGAAGUUCUAAAUAUCUUUCUCUAUUAAUUAUAUUCCCUUUCAGCUAUAUUUAAAGACUUGAUAGUAUCAUUUUCAUUUUUAUCUUAUUCUAGGAAACCCAGUCGAGAAAGUGACUUUGAAUCUGCUACAGAGACAAGUCAGCAGUCGCCAUUGUCAUGAAAGAAAAGAAAAGGGAUGCUUCUAAGGUAACAUGAACUUGCCACUUCAUUCAAGUACAGUUGUUUAUAUUGGCUUAUGAUGUGCUAUUAUUGGUUCUCCAUUUAAAUAGACUCAAACUUUCAAUCAAAUAGAGGUACUUAAACUUUCAAUCAAGAAUGGGAAGAACAUGUGAAUUUCGCCUCUGCAUUGGCUAGCAAUUCAUUCCAAGAAUAGCUUCCUUCAACUACUCUCAGAACCGAGGGAAGUGGAACUAUUAUGCUCAAAACUACCAGCAAUCCAAUAGCACUUUCUCAUGAUGGUGCAAAUACUAAAGCACUUUCUCAUGAUGGUGCAAAUACUAAAGGGUUCUAAGUUUGAUAGCAUUUCUUUGCUUUUUUCUGUCCCUCUUUUCUUUUUAAGUUGGGAGCUAGGUCUAUGUAAAUCACAUUCCUUUUUCAUUGCAAAUGAAUUGCACCUGAUGCAGAUUUCAGUUUGGAUUUCUAUUUGUUAGUUAGCUUAUGAAGGAAAUAUUCUUUGUCA